RNAcentral lists this ribosomal RNA (460 nucleotides) under uncultured bacterium. Its description in RNAcentral is "bacterial SSU rRNA". It matches the Rfam family "Bacterial small subunit ribosomal RNA", at positions 28 to 501 of the family's 1533-position model. The record is from RNAcentral.
GACGAACGCUGGCGGCGUGCUUAACACAUGCAAGUCGAACGGUGACCCAGGGCUUGCCCUGGUGAUCAGUGGCGAACGGGUGAGUAACACGUGGGCAACCUGCCCCUGACUUCGGGAUAACUCCUCGAAAGAGGAGCUAAUACCGGAUACGACCACUUCGGACAUCCGAUGGUGGUGGAAAGUUUUUCGGUCAGGGAUGGGCCCGCGGCCUAUCAGCUAGUUGGUGGGGUAAUGGCCUACCAAGGCGACGACGGGUAGCCGGCCUGAGAGGGCGACCGGCCACACUGGGACUGAGACACGGCCCAGACUCCUACGGGAGGCAGCAGUGGGGAAUAUUGCGCAAUGGGCGAAAGCCUGACGCAGCGACGCCGCGUGAGGGAUGAAGGCCUUCGGGUUGUAAACCGUCUUCAGCAGGGACGAAGCGAAAGUGACGGUACCUGCAGAAGAAGCACCGGCUAAC